Long non-coding RNA from Carassius auratus (goldfish), 1840 nucleotides. The record is from Ensembl. NCBI's taxonomy places the organism in Eukaryota, Metazoa, Chordata, Actinopteri, Cypriniformes, Cyprinidae.
GUAAUUUUAACAAGCGAACAAAUGUACUUUGGGUCAUUAUAUUAAAAAAGCUUCUCUGUGUUUAUUUUUAGCAACUUCUUGUCAGUGUACACUUGUUUCGUAUGCCAUUUGCAGUGCCCUUCGGACUGAGUGGAUGCAUUUCCUGCGAUUUAAAAAGAUGACCGGAUUUGAGAUGUUUGCUUUGGCAGGACACUGCCCGGGGGAGCGGAACAUAUCCAGACAUAUCUGUGCUGUGAUAGUGUGGUGUUAUUCAGCUAACUCUCGCUGUCAAACAGUGACCUCCAGAGGACAGUUAGAAAACUGCAGCCUGGGAGUGUACUCUGCUGCUGCAAACUCAUCAUUUGAGAGAUAAGCGUAAACAAAUGCCCAGUGACUGCGAGGAAAAGUAUGUAUUUUUAUGUCCUAGAACACAAACUCUAGAUGUUUUCUCCAUCCCUCCUAUAGACACGUUAUACGAGGUCUCAUCAUCAGCUCCACUGAAAUCCAAAGAAUGACCUUCAUGAUCAAAAACUGUUUCCAGUGUUCGAUUAAGAAUAUAAUUUUACAUCAUGUGACAAAAAGUCUUAUCAAAUUUGUAAUUAAUGUAGAUUAAAAUGGCCUCAUCAUGAUACAUUUGAAGAAAUACAAAACCAAGUCUAUUUGAGUAAGAUACAUAAUAUAAUUAAUUCAGCAUAUGGUUAAAUAAAAUACAAUAUUAAUAAUGAAAAAAUGGCAAAGAAAAAUUAUGAUUAUUCUUAUAUUACUAUUAUAAGUAUUUUUGCAGCCUAUUUAAGCAGUUAUAUUGUCUUUAUUGUUAUAUAAUAAAGCUUGUGAAGACUGCAAAAUAAUGAUAAUAAUAAUAAUAAUAAGAGCAAGAAAAAGAGGUUUAUAAGAGGCAGAUGCACAUACAUACUGUGCAUUAAAACAUGCAUAAUAAUUAUUAUUAUUAUUGUUGUUGUUGUUGUUGUUAGUAUUUAAUCAGUUUUAGCAGUUAAAUUAUCAUUAUUGUUAUGUAUUAAAGCUUCUGUGAACUGCAAACAAUAAUAAUAGUAGUAAUAAUAAUAGUAAUUAUUAUUAUUAUGCAGUCUAUUUAACCAGUUCUAUUAUUCAUAUUGUUGUUGGUGUUAUUUUGCAGUCUACACAAGCUUUUAGAUACAAAAUCCUCUGUUUUCUUCUUUUCCAGAUCUGUCACUUUAAAGCCUCAUCUAAUAUGACUCUCUCUCUCUCUCUCUCGCUCGCUCUCUGUCACCUUUUCUCUCUUUUCCCCUUGGUGCGUCCUUUCUGAAAGGCAGCAGUAAUGUGAUUUCAGUAAUGUAAUUUGUCUGCGUGUGUGUGUGUGUGUGUGUGUGUGUGUGUGUGUGUGUGUGUCGGUGUGCGGACAGUGAGGAGGAACCUGAUCCAGGCUGGGUGAUUUAUGAUGUGUGUUCCACCGUUUUUCUAAAACACGUUUCUCUUCAUUUAUUUUUAAUCUUCAGAGCGAUUAGUUCUCCCUGUCAACUGCUAUACAGCGUCUGAGCGGAGCGUUAAUGAGAGAGCGAGAGACAGAUGCACAGACAGGUAUUUACUCCACAUGAAAACAUGCAGAAUAGAAUGGAUAAGAGCAAACAGUGCAUUUGAUUUUGUCCAAGAUUUGGGGUUGAGUCCAUCAGCACUGGAGAGAGAUGUCACCUCAUAUGACUCUGAAUGAGCAUUCAGUCAAAUCAGAGGUCAGGCUCAAAGCAGCCAAUUGAAAUCACUCCCUGCAUUUCCAUGGCAACAUGCUCCAUAUAUGACUACACUUACACGCCUUGAUAGCUUUAUUUCCUUUACUCAUAUUCUUAUUUCCUUCAAUUCCUUCCACUCACUCUGUUUUUCCUGCAAA